This 67-nucleotide transfer RNA is filed under the name Duodenibacillus massiliensis. It matches the Rfam family "tRNA". Rfam says of the family: Transfer RNA (tRNA) molecules are approximately 80 nucleotides in length. The record is from RNAcentral. RNAcentral also lists the same sequence under 1 other name. Lineage: Bacteria; Pseudomonadati; Pseudomonadota; Betaproteobacteria; Burkholderiales; Sutterellaceae.
CCCAUAGCUCAGUCGGUUAGAGCAGGGGACUCAUAAUCCCUUGGUCGUUGGUUCGAGUCCAACUGGG